This 253-nucleotide ribosomal RNA is filed under the name uncultured bacterium. RNAcentral describes it as "partial 16S ribosomal RNA". It matches the Rfam family "Bacterial small subunit ribosomal RNA", at positions 524 to 776 of the family's 1533-position model. The record is from RNAcentral.
GACGAACCGUGCGAACGUUAUUCGGAAUCACUGGGCUUAAAGGGCGCGUAGGCGGGCGCGAAAGUCAGGGGUGAAAGCCCACGGCUCAACCGUGGAAGUGCCUCUGAUACUUCGUGCCUCGAGGGAGGUAGGGGCGUGCGGAACUUCCGGUGGAGCGGUGAAAUGCGUAGAUAUCGGAAGGAACGUCGGUGGCGAAAGCGGCGCGCUGGACCUCUUCUGACGCUGAGGCGCGAAAGCCAGGGGAGCGAACGGG